This 67-nucleotide transfer RNA is filed under the name Scopula lactea. Its description in RNAcentral is "tRNA-Leu". The record is from RNAcentral. Lineage: Eukaryota; Metazoa; Arthropoda; Insecta; Lepidoptera; Geometridae.
ACUAUUUUGACAGAAAAAAUGUGAUGGUUUUAGAAAUCAUAAAUAUAUAGUAAUUAUAUAUGUAGUA